GAUGAACGCUGGCGGCGUGCCUAAUACAUGCAAGUCGAGCGAACAGACGAGAGUGCUUGCACUCUCUGACGUUAGCGGCGGACGGGUGAGUAACACGUGGGUAACCCACCUAUAAGACUGGGAUAACUUCGGGAAACCGGAGCUAAUACCGGAUAAUAUUUAGCUUCGCAUGAAGCAAUAGUGAAAGACGGUUCUGCUAUCACUUAUAGAUGGACCCGCGGUGUAUUAGCUAGUUGGUGAGGUAACGGCUCACCAAGGCAACGAUACAUAGCCGACCUGAGAGGGUGAUCGGCCACACUGGGACUGAGACACGGCCCAGACUCCUACGGGAGGCAGCAGUAGGGAAUCUUCCGCAAUGGACGAAAGUCUGACGGAGCAAUGCCGCGUGAGUGAAGAAGGUUUUCGGAUCGUAAAACUCUGUUGUAAGGGAAGAACAAGUACGUUAGUAACUGAACGUACCUUGACGGUACCUUACCAGAAAGCCACGGCUAACUACGUG
Molecule: ribosomal RNA, 499 nt
Filed under: uncultured bacterium
Lineage: Bacteria
Description: partial 16S ribosomal RNA
Rfam family: Bacterial small subunit ribosomal RNA
Source: RNAcentral